AGUGAACGCUGGCGGUAGGCCUAACACAUGCAAGUCGAACGGCAGCACAGUAAGAGCUUGCUCUUACGGGUGGCGAGUGGCGGACGGGUGAGGAAUACAUCGGAAUCUACUUUUUCGUGGGGGAUAACGUAGGGAAACUUACGCUAAUACCGCAUACGACCUACGGGUGAAAGCAGGGGAUCUUCGGACCUUGCGCGAUUGAAUGAGCCGAUGUCGGAUUAGCUAGUUGGCGGGGUAGAGGCCCACCAAGGCGACGAUCCGUAGCUGGUCUGAGAGGAUGAUCAGCCACACUGGAACUGAGACACGGUCCAGACUCCUACGGGAGGCAGCAGUGGGGAAUAUUGGACAAUGGGCGCAAGCGUGAUCCAGCCAUACCGCGUGGGUGAAGAAGGCCUUCGGGUUGUAAAGCCCUUUUGUUGGGAAAGAAAAGCAGCAGGUUAAUACCCCGCUGUUCUGACGGUACCCAAAGAAUAAGCACCGGCUAACUUCGUG
Molecule: ribosomal RNA, 492 nt
Filed under: uncultured bacterium
Lineage: Bacteria
Description: partial 16S ribosomal RNA
Rfam family: Bacterial small subunit ribosomal RNA
Source: RNAcentral